RNAcentral lists this ribosomal RNA (412 nucleotides) under uncultured bacterium. RNAcentral describes it as "bacterial SSU rRNA". It matches the Rfam family "Bacterial small subunit ribosomal RNA", at positions 355 to 776 of the family's 1533-position model. The record is from RNAcentral.
UGGGGAAUCUUGCGCAAUGGGCGAAAGCCUGACGCAGCGACACCGCGUGGGGGAUGAAGGCCCUUAGGGUCGUAAACCCCUUUCGGCAGGGACGAAGCGAUCUCGUGACGGUACCUGCAGAAGAAGCCUCGGCUAACUACGUGCCAGCAGCCGCGGUAACACGUAGGAGGCGAGCGUUGUCCGGAAUCAUUGGGCGUAAAGAGCGCGUAGGCGGCUCGGUAAGUCGGUUGUGAAAUCCCGGGGCUCAACCCCGGGACUGCAUCCGAUACUGCCGAGCUAGAGGUAGGUAGGGGAGAUCGGAAUUCCUGGUGUAGCGGUGAAAUGCGCAGAUAUCAGGAGGAACACCGGUGGCGAAGGCGGAUCUCUGGGCCUUACCUGACGCUGAGGCGCGAAAGCUAGGGGAGCGAACAGG